UUUCGGAGAGUUUGAUCCUGGCUCAGGACGAACGCUGGCGGCGUGCCUAAUACAUGCAAGUCGAGCGGAUUGAUGGGAGCUUGCUCCCUGAAAUCAGCGGCGGACGGGUGAGUAACACGUGGGUAACCUGCCUGUAAGGCUGGGAUAACUCCGGGAAACCGGGGCUAAUACCGGAUAGUUCUUUUCCUCGCAUGAGGAAAAGUGGAAAGGCGGCUUCGGCUGCCACUUACAGAUGGACCCGCGGCGCAUUAGCUAGUUGGUGAGGUAACGGCUCACCAAGGCAACGAUGCGUAGCCGACCUGAGAGGGUGAUCGGCCACACUGGGACUGAGACACGGCCCAGACUCCUACGGGAGGCAGCAGUAGGGAAUCUUCCGCAAUGGACGAAAGUCUGACGGAGCAACGCCGCGUGAGU
This 414-nucleotide ribosomal RNA is filed under the name Rossellomorea vietnamensis. Its description in RNAcentral is "bacterial SSU rRNA". It matches the Rfam family "Bacterial small subunit ribosomal RNA", at positions 1 to 406 of the family's 1533-position model. The record is from RNAcentral. Lineage: Bacteria; Bacillati; Bacillota; Bacilli; Caryophanales; Bacillaceae.